GAUGAAGAACGUAGCGAAAUGCGAUACCUGGUGUGAAUUGCAGAAUCCCGCGAACCAUCGAGUCUUUGAACGCAAGUUGCGCCCGAGGCCACCCGGCCGAGGGCACGCCUGCCUGGGCGUCACGCCAAAACACGCUCCCACCCCCCCUCACCGGGGGAGCGGGACGCGGCGUCUGGCCCCCCGUGCCGCGAGGCGCGGUGGGCCGAAGAUCGGGCUGCCGGCGUACCGUGCCGGGCACAGCGCGUGGUGGAUCUCUACUCGGCGCAGUGCACCCGGCGCGUAGCCGGCGCAGCGGCCCCUAAGGACCCAACGAACGGAGCGCGAGCCGCUCCGACCGCGACCCCAGGUCAGGCGGGACUACCCGCUGAGUUUAAGCAUAUCAAUAGCGGAGGA
This 393-nucleotide unclassified non-coding RNA is filed under the name soil metagenome. Its description in RNAcentral is "partial contains 5.8S ribosomal RNA, internal transcribed spacer 2, and large subunit ribosomal RNA". The stretch from base 1 to 122 matches the Rfam family "5.8S ribosomal RNA", at positions 35 to 154 of the family's 154-position model. The record is from RNAcentral.